GGUUCUGGAGAGGCCGCCUGAGAAACGGCGACCACUUCCAAGGAAGGCAGCAGGCGCGCAAAUUACCCACUCUCAAAACGAGGAGGUAGUGAAGAGAAUAACGAUGUUAGUCUUUUUUAGGCUGACAAUCGGAAUGGAAAAACUCUAAAAGGUUAUUGAUUAACAAUUGGAGGGCAAGUCUGGUGCCAGCAGCCGCGGUAAUUCCAGCUCCAAUAAGGAAACUAAAGUUGCUGUGUUUAAAAGCUCGUAGUUGAAUUUCGGGUAUUUGUUGCUAGUUGGUCUUUUCGGGCCAUAUUGGUUAACAGAUCCUCACUUGCUGGACGGCUGGCGAUGAUCUUUAUCGGUUGUCGUCAGUUGCCAGAACGUUUACUUUGAGAAAAUUAGAGUGCUAAAAGCAGGCUCACGCCUAUAUAUAUUGCAUGGAAUAAUGAAAUAAGAUCUCGAUUUUAUUUCGUUGGUUUUAGAAAUUGAGAUAAUGAUUAAUAGGAUCAGAGGGG
Molecule: ribosomal RNA, 497 nt
Filed under: uncultured eukaryote
Lineage: Eukaryota
Description: SSU rRNA
Rfam family: Eukaryotic small subunit ribosomal RNA
Source: RNAcentral